This 442-nucleotide ribosomal RNA is filed under the name uncultured bacterium. RNAcentral describes it as "partial 16S ribosomal RNA". It matches the Rfam family "Bacterial small subunit ribosomal RNA", at positions 28 to 507 of the family's 1533-position model. The record is from RNAcentral.
GAUGAACGCUGGCGGCGUGCCUUAUACAUGCAAGUCGAGUGGGUUUAGACCCACGGCAAACGGGUGAGUAACACGUAGGUCCUUUCCUUGUCACAGGAAUAACCCUCCGAAAGGAGGGCUAAUACCUGAUGUGAUCGCAAGAUUAAAGGGUAUCCGCAAGGAUUACCGGACAAGAAGAGGCCUGCGGCCUAUCAGCUAGUUGGCGGGGUAAAUGCCCACCAAGGCUAUGACGGGUAGCUGGUCUUAUGAGGAUGAUCAGUCACAUGGGCACUGAGACACGGGCCCAACUCCUACGGGAGGCAGCAGUAGGGAAUUUUGCGCAAUGGGCGAAAGCCUGACGCAGCGACGCCGCGUGCGGGAUGAAGGCCUUCGGGUCGUAAACCGCUUUUAUAAGGGACGAACUUUGACGGUACCUUAUGAAUAAGAGGUUGCUAACUCUGUG